AACUUUGUAAAUUAAAACAGAUUGUAAAAACGAAAUUGAUUUAAAUGGGUGGAUGGAAGGCUAGCUAAGGGGUUCAUCUCCACACAUGUUAUACUUGCAUAUAAAACGAUUUCCAAUUGCUUUUCAAUAAACCAUGAACUCUCAACGCCCCAAGUUAAUUAGGUCCGCUUAAAUUAACCUUCAGAUUUUCCUAACGUUAUUGAAUUGGAUGA
Molecule: long non-coding RNA, 212 nt
Filed under: Malus domestica (apple)
Lineage: Eukaryota; Viridiplantae; Streptophyta; Magnoliopsida; Rosales; Rosaceae
Description: long non-coding RNA (MDOM_LNC000453)
Source: RNAcentral